RNAcentral lists this ribosomal RNA (461 nucleotides) under uncultured bacterium. Its description in RNAcentral is "bacterial SSU rRNA". It matches the Rfam family "Bacterial small subunit ribosomal RNA", at positions 29 to 507 of the family's 1533-position model. The record is from RNAcentral.
AUUGAACGCUGGCGGAAUGCUUUACACAUGCAAGUCGGGCGGCAGCACGGGGGCAACCCUGGUGGCGAGCGGCGAACGGGUGAGUAAUACAUCGGAACGUACCCUGUCGUGGGGGAUAACGAAUCGAAAGAUUCGCUAAUACCGCAUACGACCUGAGGGUGAAAGCGGGGGAUCGCAAGACCUCGCGCGAUAGGAGCGGCCGAUGUCGGAUUAGCUAGUUGGUAGGGUAAAGGCCUACCAAGGCGACGAUCCGUAGCGGGUCUGAGAGGACGGCUCGCCACACUGGGACUGAGACACGGCCCAGACUCCUACGGGAGGCAGCAGUGAGGGAUAUUGGGCAAUGGGCGCAAGCCUGACCCAGCGACGCCGCGUGGAGGACGAAGGGCUUCGGCUCGUAAACUCCUUUUCCCGGGGACGAGAGAAGGACGGUACCCGGGGAAUAAGUCUCGGCUAACUACGUG